This 431-nucleotide ribosomal RNA is filed under the name uncultured Paracoccaceae bacterium. RNAcentral's name for it is "bacterial SSU rRNA". It matches the Rfam family "Bacterial small subunit ribosomal RNA", at positions 29 to 505 of the family's 1533-position model. The record is from RNAcentral. Lineage: Bacteria; Pseudomonadati; Pseudomonadota; Alphaproteobacteria; Rhodobacterales; Paracoccaceae.
AACGAACGCUGGCGGCAGGCCUAACACAUGCAAGUCGAGCGCUCUCUUCGGAGGGAGCGGCGGACGGGUUAGUAACGCGUGGGAAUGUGCCUCGGGGUGCGGAACAACCACUGGAAACGGUGGCUAAUACCGCAUGAUGUCUACGGACCAAAGAUUUAUCGCCCCGAGAUCAGCCCGCGUUGGAUUAGCUAGUUGGUGCGGUAACGGCGCACCAAGGCGACGAUCCAUAGCUGGUUUGAGAGGAUGAUCAGCAACACUGGGACUGAGACACGGCCCAGACUCCUACGGGAGGCAGCAGUGGGGAAUCUUGGACAAUGGGCGCAAGCCUGAUCCAGCCAUGCCGCGUGGACGAUGAAGGCCUUAGGGUUGUAAAGUCCUUUCACCGGUGAAGAUAAUGACGGUAGCCGGAGAAGAAGCCCCGGCUAACUCCG